RNAcentral lists this ribosomal RNA (250 nucleotides) under uncultured bacterium. RNAcentral's name for it is "partial 16S ribosomal RNA". It matches the Rfam family "Bacterial small subunit ribosomal RNA", at positions 355 to 621 of the family's 1533-position model. The record is from RNAcentral.
GGAUGAAUAUUGGGCAAUGGGCGGAAGCCUGACCCAGCAACGCCGCGUGGAGGAAGACGGCCUUCGGGUUGUAAACUCCUUUUACGGGGGAAGAGGAAGGACGGUACCCCGAGAAUAAGUCACGGCUAACUACGUGCCAGCAGCCGCGGUAAUACGUAGGUGACAAGCGUUAUCCGGAAUUACUGGGCGUAAAGCGCACGCAGGCGGCGCGAUAAGUCUGACGUGAAAUCUCCCGGCUUAACUGGGAGGG